CUAAUACUGCAAGUCGACGCUUCUUUCCUCCCGAGUGCUUGCACUCAAUUGGAAAGAGGAGUGGCGGCGGGUGAGUAACACGUGGGUAACCUACCCAUCAGAGGGGGAUAACACUUGGAAACAGGUGCUAAUACCGCAUAACAGUUUAUGCCGCAUGGCAUAAGAGUGAAAGGCGCUUUCGGGUGUCGCUGAUGGAUGGACCCGCGGUGCAUUAGCUAGUUGGUGAGGUAACGGCUCACCAAGGCCACGAUGCAUAGCCGACCUGAGAGGGUGAUCGGCCACACUGGGACUGAGACACGGCCCAGACUCCUACGGGAGGCAGCAGUAGGGAAUCUUCGGCAAUGGACGAAAGUCUGACCGAGCAACGCCGCGUGAGUGAAGAAGGUUUUCGGAUCGUAAAACUCUGUUGUUAGAGAAGAACAAGGACGUUAGUAACUGAACGUCCCCUGACGGUAUCUAACCAGAAAGCCACGGCUAACUACGUGCCAGCAGCCGCGGUAAUACGUAGGUGGCAAGCGUUGUCCGGAUUUAUUGGGCGUAAAGCGAGCGCAGGCGGUUUCUUAAGUCUGAUGUGAAAGCCCCCGGCUAACCGGGGAGGGU
Molecule: ribosomal RNA, 600 nt
Filed under: Enterococcus faecalis
Lineage: Bacteria; Bacillati; Bacillota; Bacilli; Lactobacillales; Enterococcaceae
Description: bacterial SSU rRNA
Rfam family: Bacterial small subunit ribosomal RNA
Source: RNAcentral